RNAcentral lists this ribosomal RNA (490 nucleotides) under uncultured bacterium. Its description in RNAcentral is "partial 16S ribosomal RNA". It matches the Rfam family "Bacterial small subunit ribosomal RNA", at positions 30 to 507 of the family's 1533-position model. The record is from RNAcentral.
AUUGAACGCUGGCGGCAGGCCUAACACAUGCAAGUCGAACGGUAACAGAAAGCAGCUUGCUGCUUUGCUGACGAGUGGCGGACGGGUGAGUAAUGUCUGGGAAACUGCCUGAUGGAGGGGGAUAACUACUGGAAACGGUAGCUAAUACCGCAUAACGUCGCAAGACCAAAGAGGGGGACCUUCGGACCUCUUGCCAUCGGAUGUGCCCAGAUGGGAUUAGCUAGUAGGUGGGGUAACGGCUCACCUAGGCGACGAUCCCUAGCUGGUCUGAGAGGAUGACCAGCCACACUGUAACUGAGACACGGUCCAGACUCCUACGGGAGGCAGCAGUGGGGAAUAUUGCACAAUGGGCGCAAGCCUGAUGCAGCCAUGCCGCGUGUAUGAAGAAGGCCUUCGGGUUGUAAAGUACUUUCAGCGGGGAGGAAGGGAGUAAAGUUAAUACCUUUGCUCAUUGACGUUACCCGCAGAAGAAGCACCGGCUAACUCCGUG